AUCCCUUCUCGGCCAUUUGGCCAAGAUCAAGUAUAGUAUGUGUCCUUACCAGUUUAAUAUCUGGUAUGUCUUCUAUCUGAGGACAAAUUUUUUUUUUUUUUUUUUUUUUAUACUUUAAGUUCUAGGGUACAAUGUGCAGGUUUGUUACAUAUGUAUACAUGUGCCAUGCUGG
Molecule: small nuclear RNA, 172 nt
Filed under: Pongo abelii (Sumatran orangutan)
Lineage: Eukaryota; Metazoa; Chordata; Mammalia; Primates; Hominidae
Description: U2 spliceosomal RNA (ENSPPYG00000021286.2)
Rfam family: U2 spliceosomal RNA
About the family: U2 is a small nuclear RNA (snRNA) component of the spliceosome (involved in pre-mRNA splicing). Complementary binding between U2 snRNA (in an area lying towards the 5' end but 3' to hairpin I) and the branchpoint sequence (BPS) of the intron results the bulging out of an unpaired adenosine, on the BPS, which initiates a nucleophilic attack at the intronic 5' splice site, thus starting the first of two transesterification reactions that mediate splicing.
Source: Rfam by way of RNAcentral